UUACACAUCACCAUUUGCAGCCAUCUGGUGGAAUUGUUGAAUGUUGCCUUGGACCACCUCCAUCUUACAUGUUGAGCCCAAUGGUGCCUUUUGCCCACAAACCACCGUAGAUGGCUCAACAGAAACAACUAAUGAUGGGCCACCAGCCAUCAACACUUUCUCAACAACAAACAUGACCAGUACCUCAACAACUGCAUGAAACUCCUAGUUCGUGUCCUUUAACGAUCCGAGGUUGAAGCAUGGUUGAUAUUGAAUUUCAGGCACUUGGAAUGAUGUAUUUUGGUCACCCUUAUCAGUUAUAGUGAAAAACUUAUUAGUCCAAUCGUUUAUCCAUUCUAGAUAUAGGUUAUUAACCAUACAGGUAUGCAAUUGGAAAUCUG
Molecule: long non-coding RNA, 380 nt
Filed under: Olea europaea (common olive)
Lineage: Eukaryota; Viridiplantae; Streptophyta; Magnoliopsida; Lamiales; Oleaceae
Description: long non-coding RNA (OEUR_LNC008486)
Source: RNAcentral